Long non-coding RNA from Lepidothrix coronata (blue-crowned manakin), 400 nucleotides. RefSeq lists it as uncharacterized. The record is from RefSeq and is a predicted model, not a curated record. Lineage: Eukaryota; Metazoa; Chordata; Aves; Passeriformes; Pipridae. The transcript has 3 exons.
AUCAUGCUUAGGGAACUGAAUUCACCUGCAAUGUUUUCUUCAACUGGCCCAACAUAACGUUUCUCACUUCUGAGGAAAAGGAGCCUUUAGAUCAAAACAACAAAAAAAACCCAGCUCAUUAAAAUGAAGGAUUGAGCAGCGGAGAUUUAAGCAAUUUAUCGAUCACUGCAAGAGCACACAGGACUGGCUCCUGCUACACUCAGGAGACACAGACACAAGUCCAGUGCCAAAGGCAGAAACAGCUCCAAAAGUGUUGGGAUCUCCAAGUACUUCAAGCUGCUAAAAGUCUUCCUGUGCAUCCCUGUGUCCCUCAGCAGCUGCACUUUGCCUGUAUUCCCUACACCUGAGCUGUACUGGCCAAGAGGUGACCUCCAUUCUGAGCAUCUUUAGCAAUUUCUAA